GGAAAGUGUGAGUCCCAGCGUGUGUCCACUCCAAUGGGCUUUUUCUGAGUUGUUCACACCUGUGGGACGCGGGCUGUCGGUGAUCAUCUCUGUCUACCGCGCGUGGAGGGGAACCCACCGCCACGUGGAGCAAGGGGACUUGACCGAAAGGUUCUGAGGGAUGCACCAGGAAGACACACAAAGACCAGCAAAAUGAAGACUGAGGAACUCAAGAAGCACGCAAGGAAAGGGGUGGGAUGACAUCGCCAGAGACCUCCGAUGCUCUUGUCUGCCUUGAGCUGCCAGACCAGCACCAGUGCCAUGUACCCGAGUGUUACCAGCUCUGGACCUCACUUAUAUGUCAAGACCCUGACUUCUCACAGAAUCCUCUGCUAACAAGCAUUCACAGAAGUCACCAUGUGCUCAUGAAUAUAACCAGUCAGACUGCCUCCCGUAAGCAUCUUGAAUCUGUGCCAGUCUCAUCUCUGCUUGGUGAUGUCCAGGGAAGCAGAAUCCUCACCUCACAACGCUGGCCUGCUUGACACUUCAUCCAAAUUUGGACAGUUGAGCAGUAUCCUCAAUUCUAGGGGCAUUUCCUCUCUCAGAAGGUUCAAAUAGCGGGAAUCUCAGGCCUUCCCAGACCUCCUUCAAGGAAAAGGUUGGACCUGGAGGUUCUGACCACAAAUGUAAGUUUCAGGUGAGGCUUGAGGCUGAGCUGAGAUUGGCAUGGUAGGCCACCUGGGAUUCAUGGUGAACAAAUUCAAGACAAAAUGGACAUCAGUGGUAGAUCAGAGAGCAAAGAAAUUUGUGCUGUUAUAAAGUAGGAAAAUUGUCUCCAGAAUGAACUUACUAGACUCAAAGCAGGUAUUAAGGACACAGGGAGCUGGGC
This 868-nucleotide long non-coding RNA is filed under the name Camelus dromedarius (Arabian camel). RNAcentral describes it as "lncRNA (ENSCDRG00005005663.1)". Lineage: Eukaryota; Metazoa; Chordata; Mammalia; Artiodactyla; Camelidae. The record is from RNAcentral.